GUGAACAACAGCAUGUUCGCAGCCUCGUAGGUAUCGAACAAGAACAACAGCGCCUCCACCCUCACCCUCCUCCCUCCGGCUGUCCUCCGCCCUCCAGCGACCACCUCGCCGUCCUCCCUGCAAUGGAAGGAACCAAGCAGAAGGUUUGUAAUAUUUAGCGAAACUGCAAUGGAAGGAACCAAGCAGAAGGUUGUGUGAUCGAUUCGGGUGGCGAAAAGCCGAGGAAUUUGGGGUAAAUCAGGGAAAAUUGGAAAGGGUCAGAUGGCUAAACCUAGGGUUCUUGCAAUCACCAGUCGUUAGAUGUCUUGGAUUGGAACUUGCUAUCUGGAGUAGCUGGAGUAGUUAUGGGUCGACUUGAAGGAUUCAUGUAAUUGAACUAUUGAUAUCAUUCAUUGGUUUUUGAAACAGUUUAACAUUGGUUUACUAUUUGCUUCCACUGGACAUGUUGGUUUUCAUUUAAACUCGUUGAUGGUAUUUUACAUUAAUAAUUAAGGAUUUAUUUU
RNAcentral lists this long non-coding RNA (503 nucleotides) under Helianthus annuus (common sunflower). Its description in RNAcentral is "hypothetical non coding rna". The record is from RNAcentral. Lineage: Eukaryota; Viridiplantae; Streptophyta; Magnoliopsida; Asterales; Asteraceae.